This 18-nucleotide small nuclear RNA is filed under the name Arabidopsis thaliana (thale cress). Its description in RNAcentral is "snRNA_11747". Lineage: Eukaryota; Viridiplantae; Streptophyta; Magnoliopsida; Brassicales; Brassicaceae. The record is from RNAcentral.
AUCAUGCCAGAUAGAACA